This 482-nucleotide ribosomal RNA is filed under the name uncultured bacterium. RNAcentral describes it as "SSU rRNA". It matches the Rfam family "Bacterial small subunit ribosomal RNA", at positions 26 to 518 of the family's 1533-position model. The record is from RNAcentral.
AGAACGAACGUUGGCGGCGUGGAUUAGGCAUGCAAGUCGAACGAAUCCCAUCCGGGUAACUGGGUGGGGGAAGUGGCGAAAGGGGCAGUAAGGCAUGGGCAACCUACCCCGGGGACGGGCAUAGCCGUCCUAACGGACGGGUAAUACCUGGCGAUUCGGCGAGGGGGCAUCCCCUUGCCGGGAAACGAGUUUCGCCUCGGGAGGGGCUCAUGUAGUAUUAGCUUGUUGGUAAGGUAACGGCUUACCAAGGCGAAGAUGCUUAGCGGGUGUGAGAGCACGACCCGCGCCACUGGCACUGAGACACUGGCCAGACUCCUACGGGAGGCUGCAGUCGAGGAUCUUCGGCAAUGGGCGCAAGCCUGACCGAGCGACGCCGCGUGUGCGAAGAAGGCCUUCGGGUUGUAAAGCACUGUCGAGGGGGAGAAAGCCGCAAGGUUGAUCGACCCUGGAGGAAGCACGGGCUAAGUCGUGCCAGCAGCCGC